Molecule: ribosomal RNA, 253 nt
Filed under: uncultured bacterium
Lineage: Bacteria
Description: partial 16S ribosomal RNA
Rfam family: Bacterial small subunit ribosomal RNA
Source: RNAcentral
UACAGAGGAGCCAAGCGUUGUCCGGAUUGACUGGGCGUAAAGCGCACGCAGGCGGUUUCGCGCGUGGGGGGUGAAAUCUGGCCGCUUAACGGCCAGGCGCCAUCCCAUACGGCGCGACUGGAGUGAUGCAGAGGUCGAUGGAAUUGCCGGUGUAGUGGUGAAAUGCGUAGAGACCGGCAGGAACACCCAGGGGGAAACCAGUCGACUGGGCAUCUACUGACGCUGAGGUGCGAGAGCGUGGGGAGCGAACCGG